AAGCAGACAGCACGCAAAUCUACUGGAGGCAAGGCCCCACGUAAACAAUUGGCAACCAAGGCUGCCAGAAAAUCUGCACCUGCUACCGGUGGUGUCAAGAAACCCCACAGAUACAGGCCAGGAACCGUUGCUUUGAGAGAGAUCAGACGUUACCAGAAGAGCACUGAACUGUUGAUCCGCAAAUUGCCCUUCCAACGCUUAGUGAGAGAAAUCGCCCAAGACUUCAAAACUGAUCUUCGAUUCCAGAGCUCUGCCGUCAUGGCCCUGCAAGAAGCCAGUGAGGCUUAUUUGGUCGGUCUGUUUGAAGAUACCAACUUGUGCGCUAUCCACGCCAAGCGUGUCACUAUUAUGCCCUAAGGAUA
RNAcentral lists this ribosomal RNA (362 nucleotides) under Phestilla chaetopterana. RNAcentral describes it as "partial 28S ribosomal RNA". The record is from RNAcentral. Lineage: Eukaryota; Metazoa; Mollusca; Gastropoda; Nudibranchia; Trinchesiidae.